UGCCAGCCGCCGCGGUAAUACGGAGGGUGCAAGCGUUGUUCGGAAUCAUUGGGCGUAAAGCGCGUGUAGGCGGCUAACUAAGUCUGAUGUGAAAGCCCGGGGCUUAACCCCGGAAGUGCAUUGGAUACUGGUUAGCUAGAGGGCGAGAGGGGGAAGCGGAAUUCCAGGUGUAGGGGUGAAAUCCGUAGAUAUCUGGAGGAACAUCGGAGGCGAAGGCGGCUUCCUGGCUCGCAUCUGACGCUGAGACGCGAAAGCGUGGGUAGCAAACAGGAUUAGAUA
RNAcentral lists this ribosomal RNA (279 nucleotides) under uncultured bacterium. RNAcentral describes it as "partial 16S ribosomal RNA". It matches the Rfam family "Bacterial small subunit ribosomal RNA", at positions 506 to 784 of the family's 1533-position model. The record is from RNAcentral.